This is a small nuclear RNA of Anolis carolinensis (green anole), 65 nucleotides long. Lineage: Eukaryota; Metazoa; Chordata; Lepidosauria; Squamata; Anolidae. The record is from Ensembl.
AAAUAUGAUUAGCAUAGCCCCUGCGCAAGGAUGACACGCAAAUUUGUGAAGCGUUCCAUAUUUUU